Molecule: ribosomal RNA, 424 nt
Filed under: uncultured bacterium
Lineage: Bacteria
Description: bacterial SSU rRNA
Rfam family: Bacterial small subunit ribosomal RNA
Source: RNAcentral
UGAGGAAUAUUGGGCAAUGGGCGAUAGCCUGAACCAGCCAAGUCGCGUGAGGGAAGACGGCCCUAUGGGUUGUAAAUCUCUUUUGUCAGGGAACAAGGGACGGCACGUGUGCCGAGAUGAGUGUACCUGACGAAAAAGCAUCGGCUAACUCCGUGCCAGCAGCCGCGGUAAUACGGAGGAUGCGAGCGUUAUCCGGAUUUAUUGGGUUUAAAGGGUGCGUAGGCGGAAUUCCAAGUCAGCGGUAAAAUACGGAGGCUCAACCUGCGUUCGCCGUUGAAACUGGAGUUCUAGAGUGGGCGAGAAGUACGCGGAAUGCGAGGUGUAGCGGUGAAAUGCAUAGAUAUCACGCAGAACUCCGAUUGCGAAGGCAGCGUACCGGCGCUCAACUGACGCUGAAGCACGAAAGCGUGGGUAUCGAACAGGA